This 5064-nucleotide long non-coding RNA is filed under the name Gossypium barbadense (sea-island cotton). RNAcentral describes it as "long non-coding RNA (GBAR_LNC022413)". The record is from RNAcentral. Lineage: Eukaryota; Viridiplantae; Streptophyta; Magnoliopsida; Malvales; Malvaceae.
CCUGACCGAAAAAUGUGAGGGUUUAGGUAAAAAUAUAGGCCCGAAAUAUGGGCUUGGGCAAAAAUCGAAGCCCGUUUAAAAAUGGGCCGGGCCUCGAGCAAAAAUUUUCUGACACGGGCCCAGCCCGGCCCGGCCCGACACAUAAUAAAUAUAUUUUUUUAUUUCUAAAAUAUAUUCCCUAAUUCCCAAAUAUCCCAAAUCCCAGUAAGUCAGUAACCCAUUUCCCCCUUUUCCCAUUUACCCUUUUCGACAUUUCUCCCUAACCUAACCCUAAGCCUGUGCCCUCCUCCCAUUUUUCUCAAUUCGAGUUCACCUCCGGCAGCAAUCCACCUCUGAUCCUCCACCGAUCCACGACCAGACCUCCACGGCUCCACCCAUUUCCAGAAUCAGAGGUUAGAGCGAAGCUACAAACGUUGUUGCCUUAUAGUUCCUUUUUUGUUUGAUGUCUUUUGUUUAUAAUCUGUUUAUAAUCUUCUUUAUAAUCUGUUGAUGUUGCCUUACUGAUGUUGCCUUACAGUUCCCUUUGUUUAGCUGUUUAUAAUUUGUCGUUGUUGCCUACUAUUGUUGCCUUACAGUUCCAUUUGUUUCGUUGUUGCCUUACUGUUGUUGCAUUGCAUCUCAAUAUUUUUAUGGACAUUUAAUUUAUGCUUUACAAGAUUCAUUCACUGCGACAUUCUUAAACAUAUGAUUCCUUUUUUUUUAUCAAAUAUUUAACAUAUGAUUUUUGUCUCCAAAUCCAAAGUCAAAUAAUUAUAUAUAAAACUUUAUUUGCAAUAUGAUAUUGCUGUUUGACUCACUUCCAAGUGAACUUAUAUGGGCAUUUUAGCUCUUAAUUUGUGUUUUAAGCUAUUAUCCCAGGAGUUAACAUCAAAAACUUUGUAAUAAUAUUCAUGUAACUAAAUAAAUUGAUUGCGACAAGCUGACGUUAGUUGAAUUAAGGGUACCAAUCCUAAAUAAUUUUUAUUUUCUAUCACAAAUGGCAGACAAUUUGCUUCUUCCAUCCACUGACUGUUGUACCAAGUGCCUGUUUUAUAAUCUGUCUUCUGUUUUCUCUUAAUUUCUCUUACUUUCUCUUAUUUGAAAUUUUAUACUCUGGUUUAUAUUCUGGUUUAUAAUCUGGUUUAUACCUUGUUGCUUCUUUUUUAUAUCUGAAAUUUUAUAUUCUGGUUUAUAAUCUGGUUUAUACCUUGUUGCUUCUUUUUUUAUAUAUGAAAUUUUAUAUUCUGGUUUAUAAUCUGGUUUAUACCUUGUUGCUUCUUUUUUUAUAUAUGAAAUUUUAUAUUCUGGUUUAUAAUCUGGUUUAUACCUUGAUGCUUCUUUUUUAUAUUUGUGACAUUUUUUGACAGUUUUGGUAUUAUUUGACAGUUUUUUGCAGCUUAAAACUUAAAAGCAAUAGCAGUGCUUAUUGCCCAAUGAUAAUAUGCUGCUAGUCCUUAUUACUUGUAUAAUCAUUUUUAUUUUUAUUCUCUUUUUUUAAGAAUUGAUUGUUAGUUUGUUACCUAAAUGUCACAAAUGUGUUAUUAUAGACAAUUAAAUAACAUUUAAAUUCAAUUAGUUGUUAAUUUUUUAAACUUACAGUGUAUUAGUUUAGUGUAAUACUACAUCAAUUCUAACAUAAAGUUUAUAGAUAACAUGAUGAAAGCUAUUAUUUUAAAUUUUUUUCAUUAUAUACAAAAAAAAAUAUAAUUUGAUAUUUGAUAUAACUUUAAUAAAAAUUAGUUUUAACUUUUAAGUUAAAAAAAGGGCCGGACCGGGCCGGGCUUCAUAUUUUUUCCACGGGCUGGGCUUGGGUUACAUCUCAAGCUCAUAUUUCGGGCUGGGCCUGGCCUAGUAAGCGGGCCGAAUUUUUUUUCUGAGCCCGGCCCGAAUUUGGCCCGGCCCAUGAGCACCUCUAGAGGGGAUAGACCACAUGAGAUUUGAGGGUCUCUUGGUAGUCGUUGUUUGUUUAAUCUUUGUUUAAUCUGGUUUGAUUAAAGUAAAACAUCUCUAGUUUGUUUAUGAAUUAUUCUAGUAUUGUGAUUACUUAAUUUAUCUUUUUCCUCCUUUGGGAUUAUUUAUUUUGAAGACAUAGUUUUUGGGCAUCAAGUUGUAUUAUCUUAUUUCUCGUUUAUGCCAUGUGUUAUGUUUUUGUAUUCUUAUCUUUCAGGGUUUUUUCUUCGAACAAAUAAAAAUAAUAUUUUGAAAAUUCUUAAAAAUGCUUAUAUACAUAAAACUUGAUUACUCUUUUAAAAUUUAUGUUGAUGUUAAAAGUGUAUAUAUUUUUUAUUGUAUUAACAUGAAAUUAAGAUAAGAGGUUAAAAUUCAGAAUAUACUUGCAUUAAUAUUAAAAUCGAGAGUUUUUAUGAGAAAUUUAAGAGUUUUAUUUUUAAUAUUUUAAUGUGCUCACAAAUUAUUCUUCCGAAAUCAAAUUUAAUCCAGCCUUUUAUUAUUAGUUGAAUGAAAGGAUUUGUAAUAAAAUAAUAAUAUUAAAACAUAAAUAAAUAAUUUAAAUUUAAAUCAAGCUUCUUAUCCCAUAAAUAAUAAAUUGAAGGCCUACAUAUUUCCUUGUUUUGGAUUUCAAUAUAUUAUAUUGAUAGCAUAGGACCUAAUAUGAUAACAGCACACAUUUUACCAAAUCUAAUCAUCAUUAAUUCAUUAAAAAGGCAUGCAUGUCCAGCUCCAACAUCACAAUAUUCCACACAACAGCAAAAACAACUUGAAGCAUAAAUUUAAUUUUAUGACUCAAACAAAUUAUUCAACAACAUUUUAAGAGUUGAUGUCAGAUCUUGGAAUCAAAAGCUAUGAUAGUGCUGAGAUUCGUAGGAUUCAUGUAUUCAUUAGACCCUGUCAUUAUCUGUUCUACGAUCAAUUUGUUAGCUUUCUCCGAUGGAUGAAAUGGAUCCCAAAACGCAUAUAGAUCUCUGUUCGGACAUAAAUUCGACAAUUGAGUACAUAAACCCAGUCCAUUGUAAGGUCCUUGUCCGCAACAGGCUAUCUCUGAUGUUGUAAAUCCUGUUUCAAACCAAUUUUUUCAUAUAUUUGAAGAGUCUUAAGAAGUUAUAUCUUUAUACCUAUAUCCAGAUAUAUGUCAAAUAUGAAUACUUCAAAAGUAAUUUAUUUAGGGUAAAAUUCUCCACAUAUCUAUAUAUAAUUUAGAAAAAAAUUAAGUAUAGUCAUUCAAAUAUAUUCUUAGUAUGAACAUUAAAGAAAAGUUACUCGAAUUCGAAUGUGAAGGUUGAACAUAGAUAUGUGUUAAUUUUUUGGUGUGUGUGGAGAGGAUAAAGUCUGAGAUAGGGAAGUACGUACCAAAGGCUUGAGGGUCACUAACGAAAUCAUUGUGCAUUUUUUGAGUAUUUGCACUGAUGAAGACAUCUCUGCCAAUUUUAUCAUUGAGUCCAUUAAUCAUCUGAACAAGUUGUGGAUUGUACAAGGAAGCAGCGCGUUGCAGUUCUUGUGAGCAUCCGCCAUUGUUGCCCCUCAUUGCAAGUUCUGCUGGAACACAACCCAAUGGUCCUGUGCCUGUCACUAGAACCCUUCGUGCUCCCGCUUUGUAUAGCUUCUGCAAUAAUCAACAAAGGGUUAGUAAAUAUUCUUAUGUCCAAACUGGCAUGCCAAUUUAGGGUAGAAAAUUUACCAUCAAGAGUUUUCGAUAUUCGGAAAUGAGAAAGCGGACAUAAUCAGGCAAACUGUAUUGUCUAGAUCUUGCAGAGAAGGGAACCAAGUAAUAGUUGUUGACGAAAUCAUUACCACCCACUGUAAUAAGGACAAGUGCUUGGUUUACUACUCGAUUAGCUUGCCUUGUUCCAACUAAACCUGACAAUCUUCGCUUGUAUUCUUCAAACAACUCCAACUGUCUAUACAUUCUCAGUAUAUUUACCUGUUUUCCCAACAUUUUUACACCAAAUUAUUUGAGUUCAAUUAAAAAAAAAUCGGCUUAGUCAUUGUCAAUCAAAAUUAAGUUUAAUUUGUAACUUACGAAUUGAACUCCAGUGUCAUUAAGGAUUCCCACACCAGCUGAAGCAAAGUUAGCACCAAGAAGCAGCUUUUUACCAUUAAAAUCUGGGCUCAAAUAUGGCAAUGGUGACUCCGACAAUCCAAUUUGCUUACCUGCAUUGCAUGCCAUGCAUUCAAAUUAAUUACAUUUAUCUUGUCUACACCAACAUAUAUUAGAAACUUAUAUACCAAUCAGGUCUGGGAUGUUAAGGCCAUUAGAGAAACGGCCGGUGGGUCUUCCUGUCGGAUAAUCGAUGCCGUAAGGUGGGGAAUCAGCACGAGCCGUGGUUUCGAGGUAGUUAUUGUUGCCACUGUCAACAAGUGAAUCACCAAAAAUGAAGAAAGCUCGAGCCUCAGCAAUGGCGGCAAUGCUCGCCAUUAACAAAGCCAGGACCAUCAAUGAAGCUGAAGAUGCCAUUGGUAUUGGUUAUGAUAAGAAAAGAAGCCAAAGGAAGAGUUGAAUUGUAUGGGAAUAAGAAAGUAAUAAGGGGUUGCUUAUAUAGAGAUGGAUUGAAUUAAAGAGAAGGUUAAAAAGCAAAAAAGGAAGCUGUUUUGUUAGUUGAAUAUAAUUUUGUACCAACUUUUGCCACCUUUGUCAGGAUAUUUAUUGCCUAGUGUAGUAGUGUUGCAAUUUUGUUCAUGAUGAUUGUCUGUAAAGCUAACUCACAACACAAUAGGCUUUUGAAUGAUAUGAAGUUAUGCAUAUGAUGGUAGCUGUUAUUGACAAUAAGCGUGUGAGCAUCCUAGACUGGACCAAAACACUUGAGCUGUCUAUAUGAGACAUGAGCACCAUGCUGGGCGUUUUAAGUUAAAAAUUUUUGAAAGGAGUCUAAAUGUAAUUUUAUCACUAUAUUAACUUACAUUUGUUGUGUAUUUGCAGCAGAACAUCAGGCAAUUCAUCUAUCCCUGUCACAACAACUCAACAUGCUCCAAGCCCAUAGAGUCUGCAAUGACAAAAUUCUGAAAUAAGUUAUAUGUUCAGUAUUCACUGUUAGUGUUCAAAUUGUCUGAACCUUGUGAUUAUAAUUACCUACAAAAAUGUAAACUUCCAUGUCUAUCCCAUGCACUAAUUCAUAUCUAUGUUGAUACCGG